GCCUUUCUAUUUACAAAUCUUGUUAUACAUAUGGCAAGGAUAAACCAUAAGACCAUCAAUCUCGUUCAACGCGUUUAUAAAUUCAUUUUCCACCGAUAGGUCAUCAUUUUCAACAAUAUCAAUCGCAAUAUUCAUGUGGAAAGCAUCUUCAUCAAAUAACAUUGUCAGUUCCUCGCUGCAUGACGAUGGGCCAGACGGCUUUACACUCGACGUUAUUUCUUCCAUUUCUUCCAAAACUCCCUCAGAAGUUUCCUCCAUUUCAAUUUCGGCUAUAUCGUCCUUUUAAAAACACUUUUUUAUAAGAUUUUUGUUGAACGCAUUAAUAAUCUUAAGUACUUCGCUCGAGAGCAUGCACACUAUUUGACACGUGACUUUCACUUCCUUUGUGGCGCAACAUUUUUGCCGCCGCUCUUUGAAGUUCGCCGGCUUUCCAAACCAUC
Non-coding RNA from Paramuricea clavata, 440 nucleotides. NCBI's taxonomy places the organism in Eukaryota, Metazoa, Cnidaria, Anthozoa, Malacalcyonacea, Plexauridae. The record is from the annotation of a GenBank genome assembly.